Long non-coding RNA from Phascolarctos cinereus (koala), 522 nucleotides. RefSeq lists it as uncharacterized. NCBI's taxonomy places the organism in Eukaryota, Metazoa, Chordata, Mammalia, Diprotodontia, Phascolarctidae. The record is from RefSeq and is a predicted model, not a curated record.
UGUGAAACACAAAAUUCCACUAGUGGUCAAUAAGUCUUGUAAAUAAGGCCUCUCUGUUAGGUAAACAGACAGUUGGGUUUACAUUUUAAAAGCAAUAUGAUUCACUAAUAUGGUGAGUUGUUUUCCUGGGGAUCCCGCCCAACAUGGAAGACUGAGCCAAAAGGGUGUGUUUUUCCCAGACAGCUGGAUCCCUCCUUAAUCAUCUAGACCAAGGGCUGAAGAAAAACAGGACAGCAGGGACCGUCUAGACUGAGAAACUGAGGCCCAGAGAGGGGAAGAGGCUCGUCUGAAUGUCAUGCGAGCAGCAAGUGUCAGAGCCGGAAUUCACAGCCUUUUACAUCUCAGGAAAAGCCAAGCACUACGUGUGGUACCUAAGAGACACCUGAUAAAUGCUUGUUAAAUGAAAGAAUGAUGAGUGAAUAAAUUAAUGAGUAAAUAGGUGAAUCGCUGAAUGAAAAACUAACACAUGAAUGGAUGAAUGAAUCAAUGAAUAAAAAUUUAGUGAAUGAGUAAAUCAGUGAA